UACGUAGGGUGCAAGCGUUAAUCGGAAUUACUGGGCGUAAAGCGUGCGCAGGCGGUGAUGUAAGACAGGGGUGAAAUCCCCGGGCUUAACCUGGGAACUGCAUUUGUGACUGCAUCGCUGGAGUGCGGCAGAGGGGGAUGGAAUUCCGCGUGUAGCAGUGAAAUGCGUAGAUAUGCGGAGGAACACCGAUGGCGAAGGCAGUCCCCUGGGCCUGUACUGACGCUCAUGCACGAAAGCGUGGGGAGCAAACAGG
RNAcentral lists this ribosomal RNA (253 nucleotides) under uncultured bacterium. RNAcentral describes it as "partial 16S ribosomal RNA". It matches the Rfam family "Bacterial small subunit ribosomal RNA", at positions 524 to 776 of the family's 1533-position model. The record is from RNAcentral.